GACGAACGCUGGCGGCGUGCUUAACACAUGCAAGUCGAACGGAAAGGCCCUGCUUUUGUGGGGUGCUCGAGUGGCGAACGGGUGAGUAACACGUGAGUAACCUGCCCUUGACUUUGGGAUAACUUCAGGAAACUGGGGCUAAUACCGGAUAGGAGCUCCUGCUGCAUGGUGGGGGUUGGAAAGUUUCGGCGGUUGGGGAUGGACUCGCGGCUUAUCAGCUUGUUGGUGGGGUAGUGGCUUACCAAGGCUUUGACGGGUAGCCGGCCUGAGAGGGUGACCGGCCACAUUGGGACUGAGAUACGGCCCAGACUCCUACGGGAGGCAGCAGUGGGGAAUAUUGCACAAUGGGCGGAAGCCUGAUGCAGCAACGCCGCGUGCGGGAUGACGGCCUUCGGGUUGUAAACCGCUUUCGCCUGUGACGAAGCGUGAGUGACGGUAAUGGGUAAAGAAGCACCGGCUAACUACGUGCCAGCAGCCGCGGUGAUACGUAGGGUGCGAGCGUUGUCCGGAUUUAUUGGGCGUAAAGGGCUCGUAGGUGGUUGAUCGCGUCGGAAGUGUAAUCUUGGGGCUUAACCCUGAGCGUGCUUUCGAUACGGGUUGACUUGAGGAAGGUAGGGGAGAAUGGAAUUCCUGGUGGAGCGGUGGAAUGCGCAGAUAUCAGGAGGAACACCAGUGGCGAAGGCGGUUCUCUGGGCCUUUCCUGACGCUGAGGAGCGAAAGCGUGGGGAGCGAACAGGCUUAGAUACCCUGGUAGUCCACGCUGUAAACGGUGGGUACUAGGUGUGGGGUCCAUUCCACGGGUUCCGUGCCGUAGCUAACGCUUUAAGUACCCCGCCUGGGGAGUACGGCCGCAAAGCUAAAACUCAAAGGAAUUGACGGGGCCCCGCACAAGCGGCGGAGCAUGCGGAUUAAUUCGAUGCAACGCGUAGAACCUUACCUGGGUUUGACAUGGAUCGGGAGUGCUCAGAGAUGGGUGUGCCUCUUUUGGGGUCGGUUCACAGGUGGUGCAUGGCUGUCGUCAGCUCGUGUCGUGAGAUGUUGGGUUAAGUCCCGCAACGAGCGCAACCCUUGUUCACUGUUGCCAGCACGUUAUGGUGGGGACUCAGUGGAGACCGCCGGGGUCAACUCGGAGGAAGGUGGGGAUGACGUCAAGUCAUCAUGCCCCUUAUGUCCAGGGCUUCACGCAUGCUACAAUGGCUGGUACAGAGAGUGGCGAGCCUGUGAGGGUGAGCGAAUCUCGGAAAGCCGGUCUCAGUUCGGAUUGGGGUCUGCAACUCGACCUCAUGAAGUCGGAGUCGCUAGUAAUCGCAGAUCAGCAACGCUGCGGUGAAUACGUUCCCGGG
This 1343-nucleotide ribosomal RNA is filed under the name uncultured bacterium. RNAcentral describes it as "16S ribosomal RNA". It matches the Rfam family "Bacterial small subunit ribosomal RNA", at positions 28 to 1378 of the family's 1533-position model. The record is from RNAcentral.